AAUGCGAUAAGUAAUGUGAAUUGCAGAAUUCCGUGAAUCAUCGAAUCUUUGAACGCACAUUGCGCCCUCUGGUAUUCCGGGGGCAUGCCUGUCCGAGCGUCAUUGCGAACCCCUCAAGCACGGCUUGUGUGAUGGGCCCUCCCGCGUCUUGGUCGUCAAGACGGGCCCGAAAUGCAGUGGCGGCUUCGCGGUUAUCCGAUCAGCCAGAGCGUAUGGGGACUCUCUCUCUUGUCACACGCCCGCGGCGCGGACCGACGCCUGUCGACCUUUAUUCAUCUUCUCUCGGUUGACCUCGGAUCAGGUAGGGAUACCCGCUGAACUUAAGC
RNAcentral lists this unclassified non-coding RNA (326 nucleotides) under plant metagenome. RNAcentral's name for it is "partial contains 5.8S ribosomal RNA, internal transcribed spacer 2, and large subunit ribosomal RNA". The stretch from base 1 to 102 matches the Rfam family "5.8S ribosomal RNA", at positions 52 to 154 of the family's 154-position model. The record is from RNAcentral.